RNAcentral lists this ribosomal RNA (1951 nucleotides) under human oral metagenome. RNAcentral describes it as "bacterial LSU rRNA". It matches the Rfam family "Bacterial large subunit ribosomal RNA", at positions 1 to 1980 of the family's 2925-position model. The record is from RNAcentral.
GUCAAGUACAAAGAGCAUCGGGUGGAUGCCUUGGCACUGGGAGCCGAUGAAGGACGUGAUAAGCUGCGAUAAGCUGCGGUAAGGAGCACAUAUCCGAUAUACCCGCAGAUUUCCGAAUGGGGGAACCCACAUACGGUAAUGCGUAUGUAUCAUUAAGUGAAUACAUAGCUUAAUGAAGGGAACGGGGUGAACUGAAACAUCUAAGUAGCCCUAGGAAGAGAAAGAAAAAUCGAUUUCCUUAGUAGCGGCGAGCGAAAGGGAAAGAGGCCAAACCAGACUGUUUACAGUUUGGGGUUGUGGACCACCAACAUUGACGAAGUUAUGCAAGCCGAAUAGAACUGGAAAGUUCAAGCAGAGAAGGUAAUACUCCUGUAGGCGAAAGCAGAAAGCGCAUAGGUGGCACCAGAGUAGGACCGGACACGUGUAACCCGGUCUGAAGCAGGAGGGACCACCCUCCAAGCCUAAAUACUACCCAGUGACCGAUAGCGAAUAGUACCGUGAGGGAAAGGUGAAAAGAACCCCGGGAGGGGAGUGAAAUAGAAUCUGAAACCUGAUGCUUACAAGCAUAGGGAGCGCAAGUGACCUAGUACUUUUUGUAGAACGGGCCAACGAGUUAUGGUAUGUAGCGAGGUUAAGUUGCUGGAGCAACGGAGCCGUAGAGAAAUCGAGUCUGAAUAGGGCGAGAGUUGCAUGCUGUAGACCCGAAACCGGGUGACCUAUCCAUGAGCAGGUUGAAGUAACCGUAAAAGGUUAUGGAGGACCGAACCUAUAUCUGUUGAAAAAGGUUAGGAUGACUUGUGGAUAGCGGUGAAAUUCCAAUCGAACUCGGAUAUAGCUGGUUCUCCUCGAAAUAGCUUUAGGGCUAGCCUCAAGGUAAAGAUACACGGGGGUAGAGCACUGACUGUUCGCGGGGCCUUCACCGGUUACCAACAACUAUCAAACUCCGAAUACCGUGCUAUCAUACUUGGGAGUCAGACUAUGAGAGAUAAGUUCCAUGGUCGAAAGGGAAACAGCCCAGAUCAACAGCUAAGGUCCCAAAGAGUAAGUUAAGUGGAAAAGGAUGUGGGAUUGCACAAACAGCUAGGAUGUUGGCUUAGAAGCAGCCAUACAUUUAAAGAGUGCGUAAUAGCUCACUAGUCGAGUGAUCCUGCGCCGAAGAUAAACGGGGCUCAAACUUACCACCGAAGCUUUGGAAUUAGUAUAACUAAUUGGUAGAGGAGCAUUCUAUACAGGCAGAAGGAGGCGCGUAAGCAAAUCUGGACAGUAUAGAAGAGAGAAUGUUGGCAUGAGUAGCGUAAGGCGGGUGAGAAUCCCGUCCGCCGAAAAUCUAAGGUUUCCUGAGGAAGGUUCGUCCUCUCAGGGUAAGUCGGGACCUAAGCCGAGAGCAAACGCUGUAGGCGAUGGAUAACAGGUUGAUAUUCCUGUACCACCAAGGAUUGUUUGAAUGAAGUGGGGACACAGAAGGAUAGAUUGAGCACGCCGUUGGUUGAGCGUGUCCAAGCAGUGAGGCUUGAAAGUAGGCAAAUCCGCUUUCUAUAAGGUUGAGCUGUGAUGGGGUGGUCGUAUGACCGGUAGCAAUCGAUUUCACGCUGUCAAGAAAAGCCGCUAAUGAGAUCCAAGGUGCCCGUACCGCAAACCGACACAGGUAGAUGAGGAGAGAAUCCUAAGGUGAGCGAGAGAACUAUUGUUAAGGAACUCGGCAAAAUAACCCCGUAACUUCGGGAGAAGGGGUGCCUGCUUCGGCAGGCCGCAGUGAAGAGGUCCAGGCAACUGUUUACCAAAAACACAGGUCUCUGCUAAAGCGAAAGCUGAUGUAUAGGGGCUGACGCCUGCCCGGUGCUGGAAGGUUAAGGGGAAGUGUUAGGGCAACCGAAGCACAGAACUUAAGCCCCAGUAAACGGCGGCCGUAACUAUAACGGUCCUAAGGUAGCGAAAUUCCUUGUCGGGUAAG